This 408-nucleotide ribosomal RNA is filed under the name uncultured bacterium. Its description in RNAcentral is "bacterial SSU rRNA". It matches the Rfam family "Bacterial small subunit ribosomal RNA", at positions 355 to 776 of the family's 1533-position model. The record is from RNAcentral.
UGGGGAAUCUUCCGCAAUGGGCGAAAGCCUGACGGAGCAACGCCGCGUGAACGAAGAAGGCCUUCGGGUUGUAAAGUUCUGUCAUCAGGGAAGAAGAAAGUGACGGUACCUGGGGAGGAAGCCCCGGCUAACUACGUGCCAGCAGCCGCGGUAAAACGUAGGGGGCGAGCGUUGUCCGGAAUUACUGGGCGUAAAGGGCGUGUAGGCGGUCUAAUAAGUCUCGAGGUGAAAACUUACGGCUCAACCGUAAGCGUGCCUGAGAAACUGUUGGACUUGAGGGCAGGAGAGGGGAGUGGAAUUCCCAGUGUAGCGGUGAAAUGCGUAGAUAUUGGGAGGAACACCGGUGGCGAAGGCGGCUCUCUGGCCUGUUACUGACGCUGAGGCGCGAAAGCGUGGGGAGCGAACGGG